AGCUACUAUCAGCUGAUGGGGCAGGCUAGCUUGACUGAACAAACGCGAUGCUCAAUUUCUGUAUAUGUAUAUAUUUCUUUCAAAGAAACACCGACCCCAAGUGGACUUGAUAAAGAAAUGCAUUAGCUACAUACGGAAGCUAAGUGGAUGCAGUCCCCUCGGUCAAAGCUUGUUCCAGUUGCUCUGUAAGAAUGUAACCUUAUCCAGAACUCAGAAGGUUGCACUGGUUGAAGGCCUGUACAUUCUCUUUCGAGAGAUUUUGCCAGAUCUCUCUACAACACAAGGGGGAAAAUCCAUUGAGGACCUUGAUGUCUUUGAGUAUUCAACAUACUGCUGGGCAUACCUCUUAUCAGAGGCAAAGAAAGAGUCCUCUGAAUUUGAAAACUACGCUCCAUACUCACUUUUGAAUGAAGACGGCAAACGAUUCUGUGAACCAGUCACUGUUCCAGGAGUCCCUGGAGCCCUCGAAAGAUCAUCAGUUGUGCACAAACUUAAAGAUGGAGAGAGGAUUCCCAACUGCUCAGAGCAGGUUCUGACAGAAACAUCCCUGAAGAAGGACACAGUCAUUGAGAAGAUUUUACUCAGUGUUCAUCCAUCAGUUACUACCCAUUACCUUUGGAUUGCUCACGACAGCGUGACUCAUCAAAAGUAAGUACUACACUAAUAAGUUCUUGUAUGUCGAAUGUGAUUACAUUUGCAUUACUAAAAGUAGGCUAACAAAGCUUGAUU
RNAcentral lists this long non-coding RNA (729 nucleotides) under Gouania willdenowi (blunt-snouted clingfish). Its description in RNAcentral is "lncRNA (ENSGWIG00000014105.1)". Lineage: Eukaryota; Metazoa; Chordata; Actinopteri; Blenniiformes; Gobiesocidae. The record is from RNAcentral.